RNAcentral lists this ribosomal RNA (254 nucleotides) under uncultured bacterium. Its description in RNAcentral is "partial 16S ribosomal RNA". It matches the Rfam family "Bacterial small subunit ribosomal RNA", at positions 524 to 776 of the family's 1533-position model. The record is from RNAcentral.
UACGGGGGGAGCAAGCGUUGUUCGGAUUUACUGGGCGUAAAGGGCGCGUAGGCGGUCACUACAAGUCAGUUGUGAAAUCUCUGGGCUUAACUCAGAACGGUCAACUGAUACUGUUGGACUAGAGUGCAGAAGGGGCAACUGGAAUUCUCGGUGUAGCGGUGAAAUGCGUAGAUAUCGGAAGGAACACCAGUGGCGAAAGCGGCUUCCUGGUCCAGCACCGACGUUCAGGCACGAAAGCGUGGGGAGCAAACAGG